ACAGCAGGACGGUGAUCAUGGAAGUCGAAAUCCGCUAAGGAGUGUGUAACAACUCACCUGCCGAAGCAACUAGCCCUUAAAAUGGAUGGCGCUUAAGUUGUAUACCUAUACAUUACCGCUAAAGUAGAUGAUUUAUAUUACUUGUGAUAUAAAUUUUGAAACUUUAGUGAGUAGGAAGGUACAAUGGUAUGCGUAGAAGUGUUUGGCGUAAGCCUGCAUGGAGCUGCCAUUGGUACAGAUCUUGGUGGUAGUAGCAAAUAAUCGAAUGAGACCUUGGAGGACUGAAGUGGAGAAGGGUUUCGUGUGAACAGUGGUUGAUCACGAGUUAGUCGGUCCUAAGUUCAAGGCGAAAGCCGAAAAUUUUCAAGUAAAACAAAAAUGCCUAACUAUAUAAACAAAGCGAAUUAUAAUACACUUGAAUAAUUUUGAACGAAAGGGAAUACGGUUCCAAUUCCGUAACCUGUUGAGUAUCCGUUUGUUAUUAAAUAUGGGCCUCGUGCUCAUCCUGGCAACAGGAACGACCAUAAAGAAGCCGUCGAGAGAUAUCGGAAGAGUUUUCUUUUCUGUUUUAUAGCCGUACUACCAUGGAAGUCUUUCGCAGAGAGAUAUGGUAGAUGGGCUAGAAGAGCAUGACAUAUACUGUUGUGUCGAUAUUUUCUCCUCGGACCUUGAAAAUUUAUGGUGGGGACACGCAAACUUCUCAACAGGCCGUACCAAUAUCCGCAGCUGGUCUCCAAGGUGAAGAGUCUCUAGUCGAUAGAAUAAUGUAGGUAAGGGAAGUCGGCAAAUUAGAUCCGUAACUUCGGGAUAAGGAUUGGCUCUGAAGAUUGAGAUAGUCGGGCUUGAUUGGGAAACAAUAACAUGGUUUAUGUGCUCGUUCUGGGUAAAUAGAGUUUCUAGCAUUUAUGUUAGUUACUUGUUCCCCGGAUAGUUUAGUUACGUAGCCAAUUGUGGAACUUUCUUGCUAAAAUUUUUAAGAAUACUAUUUGGGUUAAACCAAUUAGUUCUUAUUAAUUAUAACGAUUAUCAAUUAACAAUCAAUUCAGAACUGGCACGGACUUGGGGAAUCCGACUGUCUAAUUAAAACAAAGCAUUGUGAUGGCCCUAGCGGGUGUUGACACAAUGUGAUUUCUGCCCAGUGCUCUGAAUGUCAAAGUGAAGAAAUUCAAGUAAGCGCGGGUCAACGGCGGGAGUAACUAUGACUCUCUUAAGGUAGCCAAAUGCCUCGUCAUCUAAUUAGUGACGCGCAUGAAUGGAUUAACGAGAUUCCUACUGUCCUAUCUACUAUCUAGCGAAACCACAGCCAAGGGAACGGGCUUGGAAUAAUUAGCGGGGAAAGAAGACCCUUUUGAGCUUGACUCUAAUCUGGCAGUGUAAGGAGACAUAAGAGGUGUAGAAUAAGUGGGAGAUAUUAGACCUCGGUUUGGUAUCGUCAAUGAAAUACCACUACUCUUAUUGUUUCCUUACUUACUUGAUUAAAUGGAACGUGUAUCAUUUCCUAGCCAUUAUACGGAUAUAUUUAUUAUAUCUUAUGGUAUUGGGUUUUGAUGCAAGCUUCUUGAUCAAAGUAUCACGAGUUUGUUAUAUAAUCGCAAACAAAUUCUUUAAUAAAACGAUGCAUUUAUGUAUUUUUGAUUUGAAAAUUUGGUAUAACUCCAAUUACUCAGGUAUGAUCCAAUUCAAGGACAUUGCCAGGUAGGGAGUUUGACUGGGGCGGUACAUCUCUCAAAUAAUAACGGAGGUGUCCCAAGGCCAGCUCAGUGCGGACAGAAACCACACAUAGAGCAAAAGGGCAAAUGCUGACUUGAUCUCGGUGUUCAGUACACACAGGGACAGCAAAAGCUCGGCCUAUCGAUCCUUUUGGUUUAAAGAGUUUUUAACAAGAGGUGUCAGAAAAGUUACCAUAGGGAUAACUGGCUUGUGGCGGCCAAGCGUUCAUAGCGACGUCGCUUUUUGAUCCUUCGAUGUCGGCUCUUCCUAUCAUUGUGAAGCAAAAUUCACCAAGCGUUGGAUUGUUCACCCAUGCAAGGGAACGUGAGCUGGGUUUAGACCGUCGUGAGACAGGUUAGUUUUACCCUACUAAUGACAAAACGUUGUUGCGACAGCAUUCCUGCGUAGUACGAGAGGAACCGCAGGUACGGACCAAUGGCACAAUACUUGUUCGAGCGAACAGUGGUAUGACGCUACGUCCGUUGGAUUAUGCCUGAACGCCUCUAAGGUCGUAUCCGUGCUGGACUGCAAUGAUAAAUAAGGGGCAAUUUGCAUUGU
This 2268-nucleotide ribosomal RNA is filed under the name Drosophila melanogaster (fruit fly). RNAcentral describes it as "eukaryotic LSU rRNA". It matches the Rfam family "Eukaryotic large subunit ribosomal RNA", at positions 1237 to 3185 of the family's 3401-position model. Lineage: Eukaryota; Metazoa; Arthropoda; Insecta; Diptera; Drosophilidae. The record is from RNAcentral.